RNAcentral lists this long non-coding RNA (2452 nucleotides) under Strongylocentrotus purpuratus (purple sea urchin). Its description in RNAcentral is "uncharacterized LOC100891392". Lineage: Eukaryota; Metazoa; Echinodermata; Echinoidea; Camarodonta; Strongylocentrotidae. The record is from RNAcentral.
UUUUGUCGUGUUUGUUGUUUUCGUAGUAUGUAAAGUACAGGUACACACACUAUUACUAAAAUGCGAAAUAUUCCUCCAUAUUAGUGGACCUUUGGAUUGUCGUUGAGCUUCUUCUUUGAUCAGUUUCAAGAAUCAAUCAAGUUGUUGAAAGUAGUAUUUAUAUGAUUUUGAGGAUCUCGGAAAUAAAAAAAACUACAAUGGGAUGUCAUGUUCUGGUGUACUCCAUUUGCACAUUAGUUUGCUACACAUACGCUGUCUGCAGCAGUGCACCCAACUCUGAUGGAAAAUCAGACCACUUAAAGUCGAAUAUUGCGACGGCACAGCACUUCAGGAGUUCAAAAUCGUCAACAUGGUCAAACGCCAAAACCGGACUUCGUCUAACGGAUCUUGCGCAUACCGAGGAUGACGACAACGAAUACUUAAAUCACAUCAUCAAAGCACUAUCACUGAGCAGACGAAGGCGAGACAGCAGCGAGGAGUCGGAUGCUGAAUCUGAAGUCGAGUCCGAAUCGGAGUCAUCCACAUCAGAAUCCGGAUCCGAAGUGGAAUCCGAAAUGGAAUUGGAUUAUCCCCUGCCGCACCUAGGGGGUAACCUGACAAACGGAGCGAAUUCUAGAUAUAAGCAAAGUGGGACACUUUGGAGGGUAAACUGGGGACUGCUACCGGAAGCACUCAUAGCGACCUGCUUAGUACUACAUGGAUAUUGGAUGCCGUGCUGAAGACAUUUGUAAGAACUCAAGCACCAAAGCUUACCCCAAAUUGGCGUUACCACCGUGCCAUUGUGUAACAAUAAUCGGAAGUCAACCACCCCAACCUUCCAAAUGUCAGAACAACGUAAACACGUUAUGUGGUUAAUAACAUUAAUAGAAAACAACACUGGUCAAUAUGUUUGGAGAGUAGCAUCAUCAGGGCAAUGGCCUUUGCUACUCCCUCACAUCCACCUCAUCAUAAUGAAAUCAACUUCCUUUUAUAGAUGUAUGACAAUAUAUGUAUGUAUUGUUAUUUUUUUUUAAAUUUAAUGUUUGAUGUUCUUUUUAUAUUUACCCCCUGCAUACAUCGUAUUUUAAAAGAGAUGGGGACUAAAUGAAUUUCAAUUAAAGAAAAAAACAAAAAUAAUCAGAAAUAUGAAUGUUAGUACAGUAAUUUACCCUUUCUUAAAGUGAUUUUUUGAUGAGAGGGUUAGUAUUUUACUUCACCUGUUUCAUUAUCAUCUAAGGGAAUGCUUUUAAUGCUGAAAUAGUGAAUUAAGAAUCAUCGUCUUGGUUAUGUCUAUGUUUUUUUUUUUGGGGGAGGGGGUUGGAUGGGGGUCUUAUUUUGUGCAUCGUUGCCAUGGCGGUUGCUAUGGGCGUGAUUUUGAUAUUACGUCUCGUGAUCAUUCAUCUAUUUAAACAUUAUCCUUGUUCUGUCAACGUCAUUUCAAUGGGGUUUAACAUGGAAGUAAAGGUCAACACAAAUCUCUACUACGUUGAUGUAAAUAAAAUUGGAUCAAUAUCAAUGAGCAAUGACUGAUGACGUAUGAGACACGAACGACCUUUAGAAUGAUGUAUGUCUUAAAUGAUUAGUUACACCUCUUGGGUUAUUGAAAAGUUUAAUUAUGUUACGAUAUAUGGAGAUCUAAAACCGUUUAUAUAUUUUUUUUUUUUUACUUGAAUAAAAUAUUGAUAUCCAUGUGAUUUUUUUAGUUUGAUAGAAAUAACAUGCCGGGACCUUGCAUCACAAAGAGUUACGAUUGAUCCAAAUGUAUUGUACGUCCUCCACUUAGUCGCAAACUAACAAAGUCCUAUCUCUUUAGGACAGAAGUACGAUUGGUAUCGAGUUUCAAUCAAUCUAACUCAAUCGUAAUUGUUUACAAAGAGGGUCGAAGAAAUAAAAGUGUGGACAGUGAAGUAACUAUUCAUUAAACGGAUUUAAUUAUUAUUCAAUAUGUGUGUAUAUUUUUCCUCGUCCUCAGUCUUAAGUAAUUUACCUAAAACAUGAGUAGAAGCCAAUUUUGACUCAUAAUUAGCAAAACAGAAGUUAAUUGAUUUCCACCAUGACAUGAUCGCGAGCAAAAUUUAACCCAUAAUUAUAUUAUUUAUUAAAUUAAAGUGCAUUCUUGGGUUUUGUACUGCAACACUUAGUUCAACAUUGCAUAUCAUAAAUUAUAUCUCCAACUUCUUACAGAAGCUAAUUUUCAGCCAAGAAAAACAGUCAUUGGCGGUGUCAAAUACCAUACCACAUUAUAACAAGAGGCAAUUUUAGAGGCAUACCGUGUAUUUAUAUAUUAUAAAUGUCAGAUCUUAUUUAAGUCGGUUAACCUAUUUCAGAAGUAUAACCCCUCAUGCACAUAUUGGAGAAUGCUUUUAUAUUGUAUUUAUCUAAAGUGAACAAGUGACGAUUUAUACAACUUUUUUUUGUAGAAUUACAUUAAACGUACGAGUAACCAUGUUUAGAAUUCUCGUCAUUUAAAAUA